AACGCACCUUGCGCUCCUUGGUAUUCCGAGGAGCAUGCCUGUUUGAGUGUCAUUAAAUUCUCAACCUCACCUGGUUUUCUAACCUGUGUGAUGGCUUGGACUUGGGAGUUUUGCAGGCUACAGUUUACUGUGGUUCUGCUCUCCUUAAAUGUAUUAGCAGGUCUUUUACCUCUAUCCCAACAGUGUGAUAAUCUAUCUACGCUGCUGGUUUGGAGACCCUUUAUUGGGGGACUAGCUUCUAACCGUCUGCAAGGACAAAAUGACCAAUCUUGACCUCAAAUCAGGUAGGACUACCCGCUGAACUUAA
This 307-nucleotide unclassified non-coding RNA is filed under the name uncultured Psathyrellaceae. RNAcentral describes it as "sequence contains ITS2". The stretch from base 1 to 52 matches the Rfam family "5.8S ribosomal RNA", at positions 103 to 154 of the family's 154-position model. The record is from RNAcentral. Lineage: Eukaryota; Fungi; Basidiomycota; Agaricomycetes; Agaricales; Psathyrellaceae.